UUUCUGUACGUUAUAGCAUAAAGAUGUGCUGAGUCUGAAAAUAAAAAACUGGGAUGGAAGAAAAAAGUCUCACACAACAUCCCAAAUAUUGUAACCGUUCUAAAAAUCUCAUAGACCUCUAAGUCGUCUGAAAAAUCAACUGAUUUCUCCCAGGCUGAGUGUGGCAUAUUUUGCUAUAGAUCAGACCUGCAUUUCCAUCCAUGCCCGUGCUGAAGCUUCUGGUGCUGCCUGGUUUGACCCUCUUAGAUGCUACCAGAUUCAAACCUGUUCAGUACUGAAUGCUUCAAAACCUGAUGAGCUCCUUCUGGUCAUGUUUUCCCUGCUAGUCCCAACAACUUCACACAGAUUUGCUUUACAAGACCAGAACCGUGUCUGGCUGUACUGUAUUCAUCAUGGUAGUAUCCAGAGACUGCCUGAUUGCUGUUUUGUCACACCUCCAUAGUCUUAACUUUCUAAGUAAAUGAAGAAUUAAAGUUGA
Molecule: long non-coding RNA, 478 nt
Organism: Harpia harpyja (harpy eagle)
Lineage: Eukaryota; Metazoa; Chordata; Aves; Accipitriformes; Accipitridae
Exons: 3
Source: RefSeq, a predicted model, not a curated record